This 332-nucleotide small nuclear RNA is filed under the name Erinaceus europaeus (western European hedgehog). RNAcentral describes it as "7SK RNA". It matches the Rfam family "7SK RNA". Rfam says of the family: 7SK was discovered as an abundant small nuclear RNA in the mid-70s but a possible function has only recently been suggested. Two independent studies have found that 7SK RNA binds the CDK9/cyclin T complex (known as elongation factor P-TEFb). The record is from Rfam by way of RNAcentral. Lineage: Eukaryota; Metazoa; Chordata; Mammalia; Eulipotyphla; Erinaceidae.
GGAUGUGUGGGCGAUCUGGCUGUGACAUCUGUCACCCCAUUGAUCUGCAGGGUUGAUUCAGCUGAUCUGGCUGGCUAGGUGGGUGUCCCCUUCCUCCCCCACUGCUCCAUGUGCGUGUGUCCCUCCCAAAGCUGCAUGCUCGGUCAAAGAGGAUGACCUUCCCCGAAUAGAUGACGGACAGGUCUUUGGUUAAGAGUAUACAAGUAGCUGUGCUCCCCUGCUAUAACCCCACUAGGGCUCCACACCCCAGAAACAGGCUGGGGGUAUGAAUCAACCUCCCAACAUCCAUGUCCAGCCGAGAAGCAACUAUAGAAGCCAGACUUCCCACCUUC